AUUUUUUACUACAGGUAUUUUGAUUCUUCAAACAAAGUGUGGUGAUGUUUUGAGUGGCUGAUGCAUUCUCUGCCACCAGGUAGUGCUAGAAGCUCCAAACUACAUGCUGCCCUGUAACUGCCUCUCUGCUGUCACACAUAGAGACAAGAUGGAGCUCCACUCAAAAUGAGUCCCCAGCAGAUUCCUUGCCAGUGUCACAACAACCUAAGUGAGUUUACAUGAAAGGAUAUCCUGUUUGUGUCACAUGACUGUCCUGCCUCCUGCCUGGCUACAGGCUCCUGCUAUGAACCUACCCCUCAAUCUUACAAAGCAUAAGUACAGUCCUGUUCUUCCACCACAGGGCCCCUGAUGCUAUCCAGAAAUUUCUCCAUUCAGUCCUCUCUGGUGCUGAGCCUGAACUCUCCUGGGAACACCCACUAUGCUGUCUCAACUCAGUCUUUCUGUUUACUUAUGGCAAUCUGAAUCCAAAUAAACUCCGUCUUGCCCUGUAAUCCCUCACCAUGUCCUCUUGAACCAACUACCUCAUCCAAAACCUCUUUAAAAGUAAAACAAAACAGGCAGGGUCUUAUUUCUUAAUUGAGCCUGGACUCAGAUGUACAGCAACCGUCCUGUCUGUGCCUCAUGAGUACUGGGAUUGUAUCAAAACCAUCAUGCCAGGUUCUGGUAUUCAACCUCACCAAUCCUUUAUUACAGUCACACUGAUCACGUGAAGGAGACAAAACAGAUGCCAUAGUGGAUAUCAUUUAUAUGCCAGAGGCAGUGUAAGUUUUUAGAAACAUUCUAUUGUUCAUAUUUCACAACACAGCACAAGGGAAGUUCACGGGCAUCACCAUCAUUCACUGGGAAAUGGAAAUCAUAGGAUUUAAUGUACUUCAUAAGAAACAAAUGGAGCCCCACAAUUAUCCUCUCAAAAAAUAAAUGUGAAAACCAGACAAUAAUCAAGAUAUCUACAACAUUUUAGAAUACACUUAGUGACAGAUGCCAGGAUCUAACACCAAGAUAUCAGGAAAGUCAAAUCUUCACUCCUCCCAUCUGCCCGCUUUUGCAUGGAUCACCAUUCCAGGACAUCUCCCCAGUAACUAACAGAGAAAGUAACUACUGAGUGUGCAGUGGAUGCUUGAUGUGCAUAAGACUUGUUCUUUUUAAAAACGUACAUAAUGCGUUCACAUUUGUGUAUGUGUCUAUGCCUGUGUGUACUGCAUCAUGUGUGCGGAGUUAGAGGAUAAUCUGUGGGAAUUGCCUGCCUCCUUCCAACAUGAGGUUUAAUUGAUUGAACUCAGGUCAGUGAGCUUGGAGGAAAAUGCUUCUACCCUCAGAGCCUCCUAACACAGUUCAAAUCUAUUUUCUGAGAUUGACCUACAGUAUGUGUACACUCUACAACAGUAAAACUGUAACAACAACAAACAAUAAACAAAGCAAAAAAAAUCAAAACAAAAA
Molecule: long non-coding RNA, 1437 nt
Organism: Alexandromys fortis (reed vole)
Lineage: Eukaryota; Metazoa; Chordata; Mammalia; Rodentia; Cricetidae
Exons: 2
Source: RefSeq, a predicted model, not a curated record